Gorilla gorilla gorilla (western lowland gorilla) is the source of this 2752-nucleotide long non-coding RNA. RefSeq lists it as uncharacterized. The record is from RefSeq and is a predicted model, not a curated record. The transcript has 4 exons. Lineage: Eukaryota; Metazoa; Chordata; Mammalia; Primates; Hominidae.
AGACAUGAACAGAAGAAAGAAACAGUGCACAAACUAAAAAUAAGCAGUACGUGACCAUAGGAAUGGACCUCAAUGCAGAACAAGGAUUGCCUACUUUCUUCUUCUAGCCUAGGAAACCUAGACCAGUGAGUCAUCCAGAGUAAGAUGCUGAGAACAUGGACACCCUCCACUGGUAACAUAUUUUGCUGAGCCAGCCAGGAGAAAUUCCAGGAGAAGGUAGGCCCAAAGUUUAGGAUUUCUCUCCUUUCCUUUCUGUUUCAUACAGGGGAAUCUCUCCUUGGUGGGCAGUGCCUAAACACAGAGAAAACUGCAGAAUUCUGGCUAUGGCCAGUGAAAACUAACGGUGUCCAUGUGAAGGCACCUAACCAUCACCAACCAGUUUGCUUAAGGGACCUGGGUCUUCUCUCUUUUUCCUUUCUUUCAUUUUCACUGUCUCAACAACUGCUUUCUAGUAGCUCCUUGAAAAUUGAAGGCAAUUGGCUGGAGUCACUCCCAGGUAUUGCCUGAAGGCCUAGGAAUGAAUGGGACUAUUUGCCCUGUGCAGAAGGGGGAAGGGCUCUUUUCCUUUUUGAGACAGAGUUUCACUCUUAUUGCCCAGGCUGGAGUGCAAUGGUGUGAUCUCAGCUCACCACAACCUCUGCCUCCUGGGUUUAAGCGAUUCUCAUGCCUCAGCCUCCCAAGCAGUUGGAACUACAGGUGCCUGCCACCAUGCUGGGCUAAUUUUUAUAUUUUUAGUAGACGGGGGUUUCACCAUGUUGGCCAGGCUCAUCUUGAACACCUGACCUCAAGUGAUCCACCUGUCUUGGCCUCUCAAAGUGCUGGAAUUACAGGCAUGAGCCACCAUGCCUGGCCAGGAAUUCUUGCUUUUUAGGGUUUCACUUAAGUUUUAGGUUAUAAGGAUAAGAAUUCUAGUUAACACAUAAUUCUGUAGGCAAAAUGUGCUGGAAAAGAUUAUGUUAUUAGUGAGAAAAAGAAUAACUUUGUAUAAUUCAGAAGUUAUCAAAUUCUAACUAACUUUUUGGAUUUUAGGCUUCUAGACAGUUUAAGCAUGUUGAAUAUACUUUCAUAAAUAGAAUUUGAGUUCUAUUUCUCUCUCUGCCUAAUUUCUUCAAAAUUUGUAAACUAUUUGUGAAUAUUCUUAAUUCAUGGCAAUAUGUUUGUCUGCAUACAGUUGAGCAGGGUCCCUAGGGCCACUCAGGGAGAAAGAACCCAGAAACCAGACAUGCUUGCAAAAGAAUAUUUCUUACCAGUUAGUCUCUGGUCUCUUUCGCUCUGUGCAAACUGGUUAAAUGAAAGGUAAAAGUCACCAUUUGUCCCUUCUGUAAAGUUUUAAAUUAAUUGGUUUAAUAAUAAUAUGAGCUUAAAUCAAAUAUUUUGUCAGAAAAGUGAAAAAUGUAAUGCUUUUUAUUUAGUUCAUGUGACUUGAGUAAUCUUUAGGAAAUAAACAGUUUUAAAGAUUAUUGGUAAAAUACAGUUGUCUUGAAAAUGUAAACAUGUGGUCUAAGUUAUGUUCAAAUGUUAGGUUUGUUAAAUGCUUUAAGGUCAUAAACUGCUUCUUUGGUGUUUGAAAUUUGUUUAACUUGCCUGCUUUCCAGCUAGGUAAGGCCUGAGGACAGCCCACUCGGGAUGGUCCUGGGGGCUUCUGGGAUGAAAGAGGCCUUCUUGGGAGGCUCCCAGCAUUCCCUGUGCUCUUGCCUCUUCUCCCCUCUGCCUGCCUGAACAUCCCCCUGAGUCCCUGCCAUCCGCUCUCCAUGGGGAGUUGGCCAUGCCCCUAACUAUGCUGGAAACAUUCUCAUAUUAUCAGAACACAACUCAGCAGGUUUUACAUUACAAUUAAGAUUGCUAGGAGUCACCAUUAACAUGUAAUUAAGAUUACUAGAAACAGUUUUAUAUGCAAGAUGUGUAAGAAUAGUAAAAUGUGUUUUGUUUUGUUUUGUUUUGGUAAAAGGUUAUAAAGGGUUCUUGCUUUAAAUUUCUGAGUCAUCAUUUUGGCAAAAUAAGUAAUUUAGGGCAAUCUGGAAUUCCAAAGUCAAACUUCAGUUUCAAAAUUGUCUUUUCUAAUGCCUGGCUUUUUGGAUGGAUCAGAUGGCCCCUGAAAACAUCCAGAAAAGAGUUAUAAUAGAGUUGGAUGAACAGAAAAGUAUCUAUGCUGCAGCUGGCACUUAUGACCUACGGAAAAAUACAUUAAAUGAAGACUAUGGAAAUUCAGUGAAGGAGAUGAGACUGCUAAGUUAAAGACCACCUAGCUUCAGAUGAUCAUGCAACAAAGGCUCCAGCCAAUUCCAGGUGAAGACACCAACCCUGGCCAUCAAGGAGAUACCCUGCCUCCACUAGAGAGAGCAGAGUGAGAGUUCUGUGAUCCUCAAUAGGUAGAGACUACACCCCAAGCCAGCAUGAAGCAGCUACAGAAGAAAGACCAGCUGUCGCUCUGCCUCCCAUAAAGAUUUAUGAAGAUCACGUCUCUCAGUGGGGAAAUGAGUCAAGAAAAUAACGUCUGGAGGCAGGGAACAUAAGGCCAAUUAACACUUCAGCUAUGACAGGAAAUAUCCUUUCCAUAGGGUGUACACUAAGUGACUUUGUAACCUUACUUUGUCCUCUUCAUUUACAUAGGGCAUACAGCAAGUAACCAAUGGAAACUGCUAGAGUGUAUUUAAACCCCCACAAAUUCUGUAAUGGGGCCCUAUGCUCAUGCCCAUUACCACACUGUGAAGUGUACUUUCAUUUUGAAUAAAUAUCUGCUUUUGCUACUUCA